CGGCGGACGGGUGAGUAACGCGUGGGUAACCUGCCUCAUACAGGGGGAUAACAGUUAGAAAUGGCUGCUAAUACCGCAUAAGACCACAGUGCUGCAUGGUACAGUGGUAAAAACUCCGGUGGUAUGAGAUGGACCCGCGUCUGAUUAGGUAGUUGGUGAGGUAACGGCCCACCAAGCCGACGAUCAGUAGCCGACCUAAGAGGGUGACCGGCCACAUUGGGACUGAGACACGGCCCAGACUCCUACGGGAGGCAGCAGUGGGGAAUAUUGCACAAUGGGCGAAAGCCUGAUGCAGCGACGCCGCGUGAAGGAUGAAGUAUUUCGGUAUGUAAACUUC
Molecule: ribosomal RNA, 337 nt
Filed under: uncultured bacterium
Lineage: Bacteria
Description: bacterial SSU rRNA
Rfam family: Bacterial small subunit ribosomal RNA
Source: RNAcentral